UGUCACAGCAAGUGUGUCUUCGUCUUACUCAUGGCUCAUUGAGUGUUGACGGCAAUUAGACCUUGACGUGUCUGAGAAUGACUACGACCAAGAAAACGAAAUGCUUCUUGAGUGAAAGGACAUUUGCUUUUUGCGAACCCGUCUAAACCCUGAAAUAGGCACUUCAGAUGUGACCUUCACAAGGCUCUUCUUUGCAUUUAUAUACAGGGCAAGAAAAAAAGGUAGAAUUAAAAAUGACUGAAGUCUCGGCCCUCCCCGGUGGUGCAGCGGGUUAAAGCAC
Condylura cristata (star-nosed mole) is the source of this 280-nucleotide long non-coding RNA. RefSeq lists it as uncharacterized. The record is from RefSeq and is a predicted model, not a curated record. Lineage: Eukaryota; Metazoa; Chordata; Mammalia; Eulipotyphla; Talpidae. The transcript is spliced from 3 exons.